GUAGCAUGUCAUGAAUUCCUUUCGUGAUAGAUAUGUUUUGGAACUAAUGUUUUAUGCCAACCCUAGACCCCAAACAUAUCAAUAUGUGAACUAACAUUCAUGAAGCCAGCCCAUGCUAGGAGAUAAACAUGGUUUAGUUAUCAUUUUGAUGAAGUAUAAAGAAUAAAACUAGACAAUAGUCAUGAGCAAGAUUUGGUGACCAUAAAUUUAAAUAUGCAAGCAAUUGGCUUUUCUGGUAGAUGAUUUAGAGAAUGUGCUUACCUUAGAUUCCUUGCAAAAAUCUGGAUCAGAAAACCAAGUUUCAUCAACUACUACCUCUGGAGCUCGAGGUUUUCCAUUGAAAGCAACUGCAGCCAUAGAUGACGUCAAGACAACUCGUUUGACUGAUGGGACUUUUGCACAUGAGUUAAGAACAUUAAGUGUUCCCUUCAAUGCAGGAUCAAUUAAUUCAGCCUGUGGGUCCUUAACAUCAUGAUAAAAAGGAGAUGCAGUAUGGAAAACACCUUCACACCCUUCAACAGCAGCAUCAAAGGAACCUUCUUCCAGUAGGUUUGCUUUAAACAGCUGAAGUCUCUCCUCAGCUCCUUCAAGUGCGCGUAAGUGUUCAGUCUUUCUGGGAUCAUUUGGAUCACGAAUAGAGGCCUUGACGGUGUAGCCACGGAGGAGAAGGAGCUUCACAAGCCAGGAAGCAAUGUAACCGGAGGCCCCGGUGACGCAAACGAUCUUCCCUACUCCACUGCUCAUUUUCGUUGUCUCUGUUUCCUCCACGUUCUGGCUGCUCAGUUCACCCGAUAUCUAUCCUCGUUUUAUAGCCAUUUUUGGCCAUUACAAAAGUGGUAACAGUGCCUCAUAAUCACGCUGUGGUUUCGUGUGCAGGGACGUAUCACGCUGUGCUUUCGCGUGCAGGGACGUAGGCAAUAAUUUUUCAACAGCGAUGACUUAGCCGGUG
This 949-nucleotide unclassified non-coding RNA is filed under the name Hevea brasiliensis (rubber tree). Lineage: Eukaryota; Viridiplantae; Streptophyta; Magnoliopsida; Malpighiales; Euphorbiaceae. The record is from RNAcentral.